RNAcentral lists this transfer RNA (95 nucleotides) under Methylobacterium soli. RNAcentral describes it as "tRNA-Gly". The record is from RNAcentral. Lineage: Bacteria; Pseudomonadati; Pseudomonadota; Alphaproteobacteria; Hyphomicrobiales; Methylobacteriaceae.
CCGCGUUGGGGUUCCGGUUAGGUCAUUGCCGGCUGCCGACCGGCGGUAUCGAUCGGCAUCGGCGAUUCUGGGAUCCGGGUCCCGCCUCGCGGCCC